GAACGCACCUUGCACCCUUUGGUAUUCCGAAGGGUACACCUGUUUGAGUGUCAUUGUAAUCUCACACCCUCAGACUUUUGUCGAAAGGGAGGUGGACUUGGACGCUGUUGUGUCACUACGACUCGUCUCAAAUGCAUGAGUGUACCCUGCGUCCGCAGCGUAUUCGGUGUGAUAAACAUCUUCACCGGAGUAGUGCCUUUGGGCUCGCGCUGGCAAAUGUUGGGCUCUGCGCUUCAAACCGUCUUUGGACAGCAACUGACAAUUUGACCUCAAAUCGGGUGGGACUACCCGCUGAACUUAAG
This 302-nucleotide unclassified non-coding RNA is filed under the name uncultured Sebacinales. RNAcentral describes it as "sequence contains 5.8S rRNA gene". The stretch from base 1 to 53 matches the Rfam family "5.8S ribosomal RNA", at positions 102 to 154 of the family's 154-position model. Lineage: Eukaryota; Fungi; Basidiomycota; Agaricomycetes; Sebacinales. The record is from RNAcentral.